AUUGAACGCUGGCGGCGUGCCUAACACAUGCAAGUCGAGCGGUAACAGGUGUAGCAAUACAUGCUGACGAGCGGCGGACGGGUGAGUAACGCUUGGGAAUCUGCCUAUUAGUGGGGGACAACCCGGGGAAACUCGGGCUAAUACCGCAUACGCUCUACGGAGGAAAGCCGGGGACCGCAAGGCCUGGCGCUAAUAGAUGAGCCCAAGUCGGAUUAGCUAGUUGGUAGGGUAAUGGCCUACCAAGGCGACGAUCCGUAACUGGUCUGAGAGGACGACCAGUCACACCGGAACUGAGACACGGUCCGGACUCCUACGGGAGGCAGCAGUGGGGAAUAUUGGACAAUGGGCGAAAGCCUGAUCCAGCGACGCCGCGUGGGUGAAGAAGGCCUGCGGGUUGUAAACCUCUUUCAGCUCCGACGAAGCGAGAGUGACGGUAGGAGCAGAAGAAGCACCGGCCAACUACGUGCCAGCCGCCGCCGUAAC
RNAcentral lists this ribosomal RNA (483 nucleotides) under uncultured bacterium. Its description in RNAcentral is "bacterial SSU rRNA". It matches the Rfam family "Bacterial small subunit ribosomal RNA", at positions 29 to 524 of the family's 1533-position model. The record is from RNAcentral.